GCAGAAACCCUUGCUCAGGGGCAUUUUCAUCUCAACAGAAAAUCAAAGUAAAUCCUGGAUCCCUUUUAAAUAUGAAAAAUUACCAACAUUCUAUUUUGGCUAUGAAAAGAUGGGGCAUGGGCUUAUAGAGUGCCAAGAGUUUACACCUGUAGAAAGAAAUAAAAUUAGAAUUGAUCCUCAUUUUUCUUUAGCAUUAAAAGUAGAAUUAAAUUUAAUUGGAAGGGAGAGUCUAAAGUUUAAUACUAAUUCAAAGAAAAUGCAGCCUCAAUGUUCAUACAUAGGUGAUAUUGAGAAAAUUACAGAAUUAAAUUUACAAGUGGAGGAUAGAAGUGAUAUGUCCCCAAGCAUCCAAGUCAGUCCACAAUUUAUAGAGAAAGAGAUAGCGAUGAAAAUGCAGGAGGAAGAGACAGAUGUGGAAGAAAAGACGAUUGGGAAAAAUAAUAAUUUUGGAAAAAUUCUGAAACCAGCUAAGAAAUCGAGUUAGAAGCGAAUUGAGGUAGUAAGAGAGGUGGAUACUUAUAAUGGUGAUCGUAGACUGAGAAAGAGGAAAUCGGAUGAGAUUGCAAUUGAAGAAGAUGUUAUAGAAAUCUCUCAUAAAGAUGAAGCAAAAAAAAAAUGAAGUAUGAUGGCAAAGAAUUUCAAAUUGAAGGAGGUACAAUUUUGUCGGCAGAAAAUCUCAAACAAUAUUAUGUUACCCAUCAAUACAAAUCGGCAGCUACCAAAAGGCAAGCUGACUGGGCACAAUGAAAACUAUAUGUUGGAAUGUUCAUGGAUUAGGGAGUCCAUGGGCAGCACGAAGGCUUCGGUAUUUGUUGAAACAACAUAAGCCCCAAAUGGUCUUCCUCAUGGAGACUAAAAUUGAUGGACACCGUAUGGAAAAAAUUAGAAGGAGAUAUGGUUUCGAGAAUGGGAUUGAUGUAGGAGCAGAAGGGUUUAGAGGUGGAAUUUGUAUGGCAUGGAAAGCAGGAAUUACGGUAGAUCUUAAAAGUUUCUCAAAAAGUCAUGUUGAUGUGAUGGUAAAAGAGGACAAUGUCAACGAAGAGUGGAGAUUUACAGUGUUUUAUGGAUCGCCUUAUGUUAAUAACAAGAAUGCCUUGUGGAAUUUGCUAAGGCAGUUGGGUCAAUAUCAAAAUCAUCCAUGGCUGGUAUGUGGUGAUUUUAAUGAAAUAAUGUAUUCUUUUGAAAAAAGCGGAGGUCAACCAAAGGAAGAGAAAAGAAUGAAAGCUUUUCAUGAGGUUCUAAAUGAAUGUCAAUUAAUGGACGUGGGUUACACGGGGGUUUGGUUCACAUGGGAGAGAGGGAACUUACCGGAAACAAAUAUUAAAGAGAGACUAGAUAAAGGCGUGGCAAAUGAAAAGUGGAUGCAACUUUUUCCAAAAGGAAUUAUUCAUCAUUUAACAUACUCAAUUUCAAAUCACUGCCCCUACUUAUUAAUACUAAUAAUGAAAAUAGUAAUAAGGGAAUUCCAAGUUUCAAAUUCGAGGCAUGGUGGACCAUAGAGGAAUUUGUUGAACGAGAGAUUAAAAGAACGUAGGAGUCUUCAAAUGGAUCUAUUCGUGAAAAAUUAGAAAUGCUGCAAUUCAGCUUGAUGAUGUGGGCAAGCUCAAUAAAGAAGGGUCGAGAUGGUUUAAGUAAUAGGCUCACAAAGGAACUAGAAGAAUUACUGGCAAGUAGUAGGUAUGAUGUCACAAUGGAAAAACUGAUUGAUACUAGAAUUCGACUUAAUAUGGAGAUUGAUAAAGAUGAAAUGUAUUGGGAACAAAAGGCACGGGCUAACUGCCUUCAAUUAGGGGAUAAGAAUUCGGCUUUUUUUCACAAGUAUUCCAUAGCACGUAAACGAAUUAAUACUAUUGCUAGGCUGGAAUUGAUGGAGGACAGGAAAUUUCUGAUGAAUUAGUAAUUAAUGAAGCCGCUUCAAAUUACUUCCAAAAUUUAUUCACAUCAAAGGGAGUGGGGAACUUAUCCUAUCUUCUAACGGGAAUCAAUACUAAUGUUUCAUCUGAUAUCAAUACAGAUUUGCUAGUACCAUUUACGGCAGAAGAGGUAUUUUCAGCUUUGAAAGGAAUAGGGCCUACUAAAGCGCCAGGCUGUGAUGGUUUUUCGGCAUUAUUUUUUCAAAGAUUUUGGCACAAAUUUAGGUAAGGAUGUUGAAAAUUUUUGUUUGGGAAUUCUAAAUGAUGGGAAGGAUUUUGAUUCUCUAAAUCAUACUGAUAUUGUGCUUAUCCCAAAAAUAUCAAAUCUCACCAAUCUUGUUAAUUUUAGACCUAUUAACUUAUGCACAGUUUUAUACAAAAUUGUGGCAAAAAUAACUGCAAAUCAUCUUUAGGAAGUCAUUGGAAUAUGUAUAGACAAGACCCAAAGUACUUUUGUUCUAGGAAGAUUAAUUACUGACAACAUGUUGGUAGCCUACGAACUCUUACAUACGUUACGUCAAAAAUGAACCGGGAAAAAAAGGCUUAUGAUAGUUAAACUAGACAUGGGUAAAGCUUAUGAUAGAGUUUAAUGGCCUUUUCUAAAGGAAGUUAUGUUUCAAAUGGGAUUUGCAAAAGAAUGGGUGUUAUUAAUUAUGAAAUGUAUCUCUACAAUCUCUUAUACAGUCAACAUCAAUGAGAGAAGAGGAAACAUUUUUAAACCCACUUGAAGGCUUCGUCAGGGUACCUCACUUAGCCUUUUUCUUUUUCUGAUAUACAUUAAGGGACUCUCGUCUUUAAUAAGAAUGGCGACAACUGAGGGUUUGCUCAAUGGAGUAAGGGCGAGUAGAAGGGGGCCAAAAAUAUCCCACCUACUGUUUGUAGAUGAUUAUAUAUUGUUUGGUGAAGCGAAAAGUAGAGGGGCAAGAAUUUUAAAAGAAAUUUUGAAAGAAUAUGAGCAGUGUUCAGGGCAAUGCGUGAAUUUUAGUAAGUCAACGAUUUUUUACAGUUCAAAUACAACAGAAAGAAACAAAGAAGGCAUAUUGAGUUUACUAGGGGUAAGGUGAUCCACAAAUCUGGAAAAAUAUUUAGGACUCCCUAAUGUGAUAGGCAGACGAAAGAAGAAAGCUUUUCAGAAUCUAAAGGAUAAAAUUAAUUCGAGGUUUGAAAGCUAGAGUAUAAGACUACUGUCACAAGGGGGAAAGGAGAUCUUUAUUAAGUCAGUACUUCAAGCAAUUCCAACUUAUGCUAUGUCAUGUUUUCUCCUACCAAAAUCUUUACAUGGGUAGUUAGAAAAUAUCUUUGCUAAAUUCUGGUGACAAAAAGGACAGAAAAAGAAAGGAAUACACUGAUGUCAAUGGAAAUUUAUUUGUCGAUCAAAAGAGGAAGGGGGAAUGGGCUUUAGAAAUCUGUCGCCAUUCAAUAUUUCAUUACUAGCAAAGCAAGGGUGAAGGAUUAUUAAGAUUCAGGAUUCUUUGGUUACACAAGUAUGUAAAGCAAAAUAUUUUCUGAAUGAGCAUUUUUUAAAUUCUCGUUUGGGAAAAACUAGCUCUUAUAUUUGGAAAAGCAUUUGGGCAGCGAAAGGUAUUUUGGAAAAAGGAAUAUGUUGGAGGGUUGGUAUAGGUUCAAACAUUUCUAUUCAUGCUGAUGCGUGGAUUCGAGAUGUUGUUAAUUUUAGAUUAUCUUCAAUUGUUAAUACUAUGUGAGAUGAAAAGGUUAGUGAGUUGAUCGACAGCAAUGCGAGAAUAUGGAAAAAAGAACUCAUAAACAAUACCUUUUCAAAAGACGAUGCUGGAAAAAUUAUCCAGAUACCUUUAGCGCGCACACCUCAGGAUGAUCUGUUUGCCUGAGGAGGUGAACAUUCAGGGGAAUUCUUGGUCUGCAGCGCCUACAAACUAUUAUAAUUUUUUGAUGAAAUUCCUAGAGCUUAUGCUUUACAAACCAACUACGAGAAUUCUUACAAAAAACUCUGGCUCCUAAAUCUACCUACUAAAAUAAAGGCUACAGUAUGGAGAAUUUCAUGGAACUAUCUGCCUACGAGGAUUAAUAUGCACUACUGAAAGCUCGUUAGUAAUACAAGCUGCCCCCAAUGUGGAGAAAAUAAUGAAACAAUCGAUCAUAUCUUUCGCGAAUGUCCUGUCACGGUGGAAGUUUGGACACUAUUAAAUCUUCAAAAUAUUCUUAUAAAUUCUACCAUGGAUUUUUUACAGUGGAUUCCCUAGAUCUUUGAUCAGCUCACUACAUGUCAGAACAAACUCUUCUGCUGCGGUCUCUGGGCUAUCUGGGGAGAGAGAAAUAAAAGACUGCAUGAGCAGAAACAGAGUACAGUCAUGAAAUAGUAAACUUCAUCAACAACUAUCUUGCUGAACUUAAUGGUUUAGAAAGGAAAAAUCCAGUAAGGGGGAAUGAGCAAAGAAGAUGGAAUUACCCAACUAGUGAGUUCGUCAAAAUUAAUUUUGAUGGUGCUAAUGAUGCGACUCAUCAACAAUCUGCCUUAGGAAUUGUAGCUAGAAAUGAAGAAGGGGUUGUCUUACUUUCCUGUUCAGAGAUCCACCAUGGGGUAACUUUCGCCUUUGCAGCUGAAGCAAUAGCGUGCCAAAAAGCGGUCCAAACAGGAGUUGAACAAGAAUGGCCGAAGAUCAUUAUUGAAGGUGAUUCCCUCACAAUAAUUAAGAAAUGUAUAUCAAAGAGUCAAGGCCAUUCAGAUAUUGGAGCAUAUAUAUAUGAUAUUAAACAAAAACUGAACAGAUCGAGAAGCUUCAUAUUCAAACACACACCAAAAUUUGCAAAUGCUCUCGCGCAUAUAUUGGCAAUAGAAACUCUAAAAAGGAAGGAAGAGAUGUACCUGGAUAUGAAGGUCCUGGGGUAUGCUGAAAAUCAACGAAAGAUUGAGUGGAGAAGAGAACCGGAUUGAGGAGAGAACGGGGAAGAAGAGAACUGAGAGGAAAGGAAAAGAGAGCAAAUAAAUCGGUUUUAGAAGAACAACUUUCCCAAAAACUAAACUGUCAAAAGCAAAGAAAGAAAUAAGACUCAAAUGACAAGACAGGGUUCAGCAAUUUCUGACUGGGCAUUAAUUAGAUGUAAUUAUUAUGAUUUCUAGACUAUUCGGUUAAAAUAUCUAGAUUUGUUCUGAGUUUGGGCCAUUUUAUUUGAUGUUCAUUGUUUGCUGUUUAUUUUUUGGUUUCAUA
This 5098-nucleotide long non-coding RNA is filed under the name Gossypium barbadense (sea-island cotton). RNAcentral describes it as "long non-coding RNA (GBAR_LNC011923)". Lineage: Eukaryota; Viridiplantae; Streptophyta; Magnoliopsida; Malvales; Malvaceae. The record is from RNAcentral.